This 251-nucleotide ribosomal RNA is filed under the name uncultured prokaryote. RNAcentral's name for it is "partial 16S ribosomal RNA". It matches the Rfam family "Bacterial small subunit ribosomal RNA", at positions 524 to 774 of the family's 1533-position model. The record is from RNAcentral.
UACGGAGGAUGCGAGCGUUAUCCGGAUUUAUUGGGUUUAAAGGGUGCGUAGGCGGCCGAGUAAGUCAGCGGUGAAAUUUUGCAGCUUAACUGUAACAGUGCCGUUGAUACUGCAUGGCUAGGAUUUGGUUGCUGUGGGUGGAAUGUGUGGUGUAGCGGUGAAAUGCUUAGAUAUCACACAGAAUAUCGAUUGCGAAGGCAGCUCACAAAGCCAAGAUUGACGCUGAGGCACGGAAGUGUGGGGAUCAAACA